Molecule: ribosomal RNA, 508 nt
Filed under: uncultured bacterium
Lineage: Bacteria
Description: partial 16S ribosomal RNA
Rfam family: Bacterial small subunit ribosomal RNA
Source: RNAcentral
GACGAACGCUGGCGGCGUGCCUAAUACAUGCAAGUCGAACGCUUCUUUCCUCCCGAGUGCUUGCACUCAAUUGGAAAGAGGAGUGGCGGACGGGUGAGUAACACGUGGGUAACCUACCCAUCAGAGGGGGAUAACACUUGGAAACAGGUGCUAAUACCGCAUAACAGUUUAUGCCGCAUGGCAUAAGAGUGAAAGGCGCUUUCGGGUGUCGUUGAUGGAUGGACCCGCGGUGCAUUAGCUAGUUGGUGAGGUAACGGCUCACCAAGGCCACGAUGCAUAGCCGACCUGAGAGGGUGAUCGGCCACACUGGGACUGAGACACGGCCCAGACUCCUACGGGAGGCAGCAGUAGGGAAUCUUCGGCAAUGGACGAAAGUCUGACCGAGCAACGCCGCGUGAGUGAAGAAGGUUUUCGGAUCGUAAAACUCUGUUGUUAGAGAAGAACAAGGACGUUAGUAACCGAACGUCCCCUGACGGUAUCUAACCAGAAAGCCACGGCUAACUACGUG